GUCGUGAGAUGUUGGGUUAAGUCCCGCAACGAGCGCAACCCCUAUCCGAUGUUGCCACUGGGUAAUGCCAAGCACUCUUCGGAGACUGCCGGUGCCAAACCGGAGGAAGGUGGGGAUGACGUCAAGUCAGCAUGCCCCUUACGUCUUGGGCUGCACACGUGCUACAAUGGCCGGUACAAACGGUUCCGAACCCGCGAGGGUGGGGUAAUCCGAGAAAACCGGUCUCAGUUCGGAUCGCAGUCUGCAACUCGACUGCGUGAAGUCGGAGUCGCUAGUAAUCGCAGAUCAGCAUUGCUGCGGUGAAUACGUUCCCGGGCCUUGUACACACCGCCCGUCACACCACGAAAGUCGGCAACACCCGAAGCCGGUGGCCCAACCCUUUUGGGAGGGAGCCGUCGAAGGUGGGGUUGGCGAUUGGGGUGAAGUCGUAACAAGGUAGCCGUACCGGAAGGUGCGGCUGGAUCACCUCCUUUCUAAGGAGUCAACUGCCCGGCGCCGAGCCGAAUGAGCUCGGAGUCCGCCGGGGACUCCCACGUCGAUCACCGACUAUUCGCCACGCUGUGGUCAUGUGUCCGACCCCGUCGGGCCUGCUCGUACUCGGAGCGGGACCCGCCGGCACCACCGGGCCCCACGGUGUUGCGGUCAUUCACUGUUCCGUUUUGAGGGAGUCGCAUCUCGUCGGGCCCAUCGGGGCCCGACUUGCGCGCUCACUCCGACCCGCUCCGCGAGCGCUGUUCAGCGCGCGCGGAUGGUCACGUGGCGACCUCGUCGCCACACUGGUCCCUUGAGAACUGCAUAGCGAGCACGAGCAUCAGAGAAACAAGUCGUGUUUGAAAUUUGGAAACACCAACGAAUAUCCCAAGCUACGAAGAGCCAACGGUGGAUGCCUUGGCGCCAGAUGCCGAUGAAGGACGUGGGUGGCUGCGAAAAGCCAUGGGGAGCUGUCGACCAAGCUUUGAUCCAUGGAUGU
Molecule: small RNA, 970 nt
Filed under: uncultured Acidimicrobium sp.
Lineage: Bacteria; Bacillati; Actinomycetota; Acidimicrobiia; Acidimicrobiales; Acidimicrobiaceae
Description: bacterial SSU rRNA
Rfam family: Bacterial small subunit ribosomal RNA (bases 1-473)
Source: RNAcentral